AUGACUUCAUUCACGUCCGUGACCGCAGUAAGAUUCAUUUUCUGGUUCCAAUCGAGAAGAGCCUCAAUGUAAUGGUGAAUCUGGUUUUUUUGGCGGGAAGUCAGGGUCUCAAAACAGGAAGAGUUAUGAGAUGAUGUUGUAACUAUCCUUUUUGCGUUGAUUCUGCGAGGAUAAAACGCGUNNGUUUUGUUGCGAGAUCGGAAGGUGUUUGACAAAUGUCCCAAUAGAGAAAAGAAACAUGAUAUUAGCACUCCUGUAGAGGUAGAGCCUUACCAUCAUCUUUUU
RNAcentral lists this unclassified non-coding RNA (285 nucleotides) under Hevea brasiliensis (rubber tree). The record is from RNAcentral. Lineage: Eukaryota; Viridiplantae; Streptophyta; Magnoliopsida; Malpighiales; Euphorbiaceae.